UACGUAGGGUGCGAGCGUUGUCCGGAAUUAUUGGGCGUAAAGAGCUCGUAGGCGGUGUGUCACGUCGGCCGUGAAAACCUGCAGCUUAACUGUGGGCGUGCGGUCGAUACGGGCAUCACUGGAGUUCGGCAGGGGAGACUGGAAUUCCUGGUGUAGCGGUGGAAUGCGCAGAUAUCAGGAGGAACACCGGUGGCGAAGGCGGGGCUCUGGGCCGAUACUGACGCUGAGGAGCGAAAGCGUGGGGAGCAAACAGG
This 254-nucleotide ribosomal RNA is filed under the name uncultured bacterium. Its description in RNAcentral is "partial 16S ribosomal RNA". It matches the Rfam family "Bacterial small subunit ribosomal RNA", at positions 524 to 776 of the family's 1533-position model. The record is from RNAcentral.